GAUAUUAAUAUCAUUAAUAAUAAUCAACCCCCCUCCCACCCCCCGCCGAGCUCUUUCAUGUCUGCAGCGGCGGCGAUGGACGGAGGAGAUGCGCCCUCCGCCGCCCGGAGAGCCUGCACCGGCCUGCCAGCCACCGCCGCGGGCUGCCGGCGGAGCGUGUGAAGAACAGCAGAAGCAGAAUAAAGACCUGACUCAUCACUCCGUCUCCAGCUUACCCUUAAAAAUCUGAAAAAAAGCCUACACAGUACAUUGCCAAACCCAUGUGUCUCUACAAAGAUGAAGACAAGUCAUUUUGCUGGGAACAUUGGACCAGCACAGAGGAAUCCUGUGUUCAAGGACUUGGUCUUACUGGGUGCUUAGCUUUGGGACUGAAAUAGAAACACCACCACAACACAGAACAAGCUGCUCUAUAUGGACAACUCUGAUUUUCGAAGCGCUGCUGGAGUAAUCUGCUGUUAACACAAUUUCGGGUAAUAAAUGGAGAAAAGAUGCAGCUCCUUUUUCCUGCACUCCCGCUGCAGAGAAGGGUGAUGCUUAACUUUAGGGAGGGUCUUCGCAUCCAGCGUUGCCUCCACCAAAUUUCCCCUCAAUCCAUGGGAUCCCGUCUGUGGGUACCGUAUCUUGCAGCACUGAUGGGAAAGCACGCGCUUUCCUGCCUUUGCAUCAUUAGAUAGCCCAACAACGCGGUGACACUUGAGGUUUUCC
Molecule: long non-coding RNA, 705 nt
Organism: Falco peregrinus (peregrine falcon)
Lineage: Eukaryota; Metazoa; Chordata; Aves; Falconiformes; Falconidae
Exons: 6
Source: RefSeq, a predicted model, not a curated record